RNAcentral lists this ribosomal RNA (404 nucleotides) under uncultured bacterium. RNAcentral's name for it is "bacterial SSU rRNA". It matches the Rfam family "Bacterial small subunit ribosomal RNA", at positions 355 to 775 of the family's 1533-position model. The record is from RNAcentral.
CAGGGAAUAUUGCACAAUGAGCGAAAGCUAGAUGCAGCGACGCUGCGUGGAUGAAGAAGGCCUUCGGGUUGUAAAAUUCUUUUCAGGGGGAAGAGCGAGGACGGUACCCUUGGAAUAAGCGUCGGCUAACUACGUGCCAGCAGCCGCGGUAAGACGUAGGACGCGAGCGUUAUCCGGAUUUACUGGGCGUAAAGCGUCUGUAGGCGGACUGACAAGUUGGGCGUGAAAGCUCCGGGCUUAACUCGGAGAGGUCGUUCAAUACUGUCGGACUAGAGGGGGACAGAGGGGCGUGGAAUUUCCAGUGUAGCGGUAAAAUGCGCAGAUAUUGGAAGGAACACCCGUGGCGAAGGCGGCGCCCUGGGUCCCACCUGACGCUGAGAGACGAAAGCUAGGGGAGCGAACAG